AUACGGAGGGUGCAAGCGUUAAUCGGUAUUACUGGGCGUAAAGGGCGCGUAGGCGGAUUAUCAAGUCAGAGGUGAAAGCCCUGGGCCCAACCCGGGAACUGCCUUUGAAACUAACAGUCUUGAGUCCGAGAGAGGAUGGCGGAAUUCCCAGUGUAGAGGUGAAAUUCGUAGAUAUUGGGAAGAACACCAGUGGCGAAGGCGGCCAUCUGGCUCGGUACUGACGCUGAGGCGCGAAAGCGUGGGGAGCAAACAGGAUUAGAUACCCCGGUAGUCC
This 274-nucleotide ribosomal RNA is filed under the name uncultured bacterium. RNAcentral's name for it is "partial 16S ribosomal RNA". It matches the Rfam family "Bacterial small subunit ribosomal RNA", at positions 523 to 796 of the family's 1533-position model. The record is from RNAcentral.